This 1365-nucleotide ribosomal RNA is filed under the name uncultured bacterium. Its description in RNAcentral is "bacterial SSU rRNA". It matches the Rfam family "Bacterial small subunit ribosomal RNA", at positions 28 to 1389 of the family's 1533-position model. The record is from RNAcentral.
GAUGAACGCUGGCGGCGUGCUUAACACAUGCAAGUCGAACGAAGCACUUUAUUUGAUUUCCUUCGGGACUGAUUAUUUUGUGACUGAGUGGCGGACGGGUGAGUAACGCGUGGGUAACCUGCCUUGUACAGGGGGAUAACAGUUGGAAACGGCUGCUAAUACCGCAUAAGCGCACAGCAUCGCAUGAUGCAGUGUGAAAAACUCCGGUGGUAUAAGAUGGACCCGCGUUGGAUUAGCCAGUUGGUGAGGUAACGGCCCACCAAGGCGACGAUCCAUAGCCGACCUGAGAGGGUGACCGGCCACAUUGGGACUGAGACACGGCCCAAACUCCUACGGGAGGCAGCAGUGGGGAAUAUUGCACAAUGGGCGAAAGCCUGAUGCAGCGACGCCGCGUGAGCGAAGAAGUAUUUCGGUAUGUAAAGCUCUAUCAGCAGGGAAGAUAAUGACGGUACCUGACUAAGAAGCACCGGCUAAAUACGUGCCAGCAGCCGCGGUAAUACGUAUGGUGCAAGCGUUAUCCGGAUUUACUGGGUGUAAAGGGAGCGCAGGCGGUGCGGCAAGUCUGAUGUGAAAGCCCGGGGCUCAACCCCGGUACUGCAUUGGAAACUGUCGUACUAGAGUGUCGGAGGGGUAAGCGGAAUUCCUAGUGUAGCGGUGAAAUGCGUAGAUAUUAGGAGGAACACCAGUGGCGAAGGCGGCUUACUGGACGAUAACUGACGCUGAGGCUCGAAAGCGUGGGGAGCAAACAGGAUUAGAUACCCUGGUAGUCCACGCCGUAAACGGAAGAAUACUAGGUGUGGGGAAGCAUUGCCUCUCGGGGCCGUCGCAAACGCAGUAAAGUAUUCCACCCUGGGGAGUAACGUUCGCAAGAAAGAAACUCAAAGGAAUGAACGGGGACCCGCACAAGCCGGUGGAGCAUGUGGUUUAAUUUGAAGCAACGCGAAGAACCUUACCAAGUCUUGACAUCCUUCUGACCGGUACUUAACCGUACCUUCUCUUCUGAGCAGAAGUGACAGGUGGUGCAUGGUUGUCGUCAGCUCGUGUCGUGAGAUGUUGGGUUAAGUCCCGCAACGAGCGCAACCCUUAUCUUUAGUAGCCAGCGGUUAAGCCGGGCACUCUAGAGAGACUGCCAGGGAUAACCUGGAGGAAGGCGGGGAGGACGUCAAAUCAUCAUGCUCCUUAUGACUUGGGCUACACACGUUCUACAAUGGCGUAAACAAAGGGAAGCAAAGCUGUGAAGCCGAGCAAAUCUCAAAAAUAACGUCUCAGUUCGGACUGUAGUCUGCAACCCGACUACACGAAGCUGGAAUCGCUAGUAAUCGCAGAUCAGAAUGCUGCGGUGAAUACGUUCCCGGGUCUUGCACA